AUGGCUCUCACUGAAGACCAGCAAUUGUACAGUGGCUGUUGGUUUCAGGCAGAUGCCUAAAGAACUGUGGUUUUUUGGCUAUUCUGGACUUCAAUAGAGAAUGACUAUUCCAUUUGGAAGAAACAACC
This is a small nucleolar RNA of Rattus norvegicus (Norway rat), 128 nucleotides long. The record is from Ensembl. Lineage: Eukaryota; Metazoa; Chordata; Mammalia; Rodentia; Muridae.